RNAcentral lists this unclassified non-coding RNA (10716 nucleotides) under Dermacentor andersoni. RNAcentral's name for it is "zinc finger protein 704-like". The record is from RNAcentral. Lineage: Eukaryota; Metazoa; Arthropoda; Arachnida; Ixodida; Ixodidae.
GCAGCGGAGCCGGCCCGAAGUGUGAGGGAAGGACAAGAUCGGCCAGCUGUGCUCAAGAUAGCGAACGGUUGUCCCCACGGCGCACCGGUGCGGACCUCUCGGUGUUUGUCGGCUGUGUUAUUCCCUCGGGCUAGUAGCAUGUCAGUGCGCCGGCUCUGGCUUGAGCAGGCGGUGAAAUCGUGAGUGUGCGUGCGUGAAACCGGAGGAUAGCGAGAAGAGCGACAGCUACGCGCGCGCGAGGAAGCGGCGGCGACAUGUCGACGGGCAAGCGGCUGGCGAAGCGCUCGAUCCUGGGCACGCGUGUGUGCGCCCCUACGGCAGACGGCAACCACAUGCCUGGUGUUAUUCAGGCGACCAAAACGGACACUGACGACGAGAACAUCUACACUGUCAUGUUCGCCGACAAGACGACUGGCGAGUACCGCGGCGAAGAGCUCAUCGGGCCGGGCUUCCAGACCAUAGCGGGCCUCACUCUCAAGAGCGGCCAGCGCGUGUACGUGACGUUUAACGGCCGCGAAGUGUCCGGCGUCGUGCUGGAGCACGACGCCGUGCGCGACGACGUGGUCAUCAGCAUCCAGCCGUCGCAGCACAACCAGCACAUCACGCAGACGGUCCACAAGCGCCUGGAAGAGGUGCGACUCUUGGAGAGCCGCAAAUCAGCUCGCCUACAGGACUUGGACACGGACUAUUCGCGGCUUGCCGAAGGUCAGGGCGAGCUCCGGCGGCGAGCCUCUUCACUCAGCAUCGAUGUGCCGCCUUCCAUAAACGGCCGCAAGAGGCGGCCCAGCGCCAGCGAGGACGCGGACACCAUGGACGACUGCAUGGCCGCCAUGGUGCUCAUGCGACUCUCGUGCAGCCCAAAGUCGCCGAGGGUGCCCUCCGACGCCCCUGGCACACCAUCAUGGACAAGCUCAAGUUCCGGUGCCUCGAGCUGGGAAAGUGGCCAGUCACCUCCACGGACUGGAACCCCAUCUCCCCCAGCAGGCCUGGCUGCGGCAGAUGCACACACCUUCUGGCGCAUGUCACCCACCCAGGAUGAGGGUGUUGACUUUGCUGAGAACCUUGGCUCGUCUGUUGAAUCUGGCUGUGCAAAGAGAAAGCGGGUGCUGUACAAGUGUAUGUGGAAGGAGUGUGGUGAACGGUUCUCCACCUGCAAGGACGUUGAGAGGCAUGUUCGUGUGAAGCAUCUUGGGCGUGGUGAUGAGAGCGAGGACUCUGCAUCAAGUGACCAUGAGGAAGAGUUCUACUACACAGAAAGUGAGGAGGAUGAUGACCUGGAGAGCGACUCUGGCAGCACCCUUCUUGGAGAGCAUGGCGAAUGUACGCACAAUGUGUACACUUCUGCACCCACCCUCAGUCAUCUUGAUAUGGCGAGGCCACCACACGAGGACCCUCAGUACCAGAUGCUCGCAAGGAGCGCUGUUCCUGCAUCCCCGCCCAACCUGUCAUCAGCAUCACCUAUCAACAUUCCCACAGUGCAGCGAUCUUUCACAUGGCAGCCACACGUCAGUGCACCAACAACUAUGGUUUCGCCCCAAAAAUUCAUGCGUCUGAGCCCCAAGACCCUGUCUGCCUCACCAAAAAGCUCGCCACUUCACCGGAGGGUACGCUCUGAAAGCCGCAAGUGCCGCAAGGUCCACGGCAUGGAGAACAAGGACAUGUGGUGCACCCAGUGCAAGUGGAAGAAGGCCUGCAGCCGCUAUGUUGACUGAGCGCUCCCACUCCUCCCACUUCUUCCCUUUUCGUUUUUACCACUACUCACAGUGUAACCGCUGUCAUAAUCGUGGCACAUCCAAACUUGUUCAUCUCACAGUGUGUGUUGUUGCAUUAAGCUGCGCUGCAGGCUGCUUACUGACAAGCUCCACUGUAAUCUAAGAAUGAAGAAAAACCUUGCCAGAUGGGAAAGGUUUGGUUUAACAUGCACAGCUUUUACAUGCUAGUAUGAAGGAGCUAUUUGCUAUGUUCAAACAGUCAUUUAGGAUCCCUUGCUUGAAAAAUCCUUGUGAAUGUAAAAUCUUCUGUGCAUCCUUAACUAGCAACCAGCAAGCACCUUGUAGUUACUUUGACUGUUUCCAGUCAUGCCACCAUUGUCAGAAUUUCUAAGAGCUGAAACAUAUGAUCGGACAGAAGUAAGAUGAAAUUAUUUCAUAGAGUACAAUUAGUUCUUUGUCAGCAAUGCAAAUUAGACAAAAAGGAUGUCACGAUCGUCGGGGAAUUUGAGAGGUCUGGCAAGGAUAAGUUUAUGCAAGCCAAUAUUUGAAGAAAACAUGGCUGCUGAGCUUGGCUGACAACACAUUCCUCCUUUAAGCUUGUGACAUCAGGAGGAAAGCUUGCUAAAGGUAUGGUGGUGGCAAAUUCUGCUUUUGCCAAUUUAUUUGUACAAAGUGUGUGGCCUGCAGUACUGUACAUAGUGUUUUCUUGACAUGCUGACAUGUGGCCAUCAUCAACUACAUAUUUCUCUAUUUGUAAUGUUAUUUCCCAGAUGACCACCCUUUCAUAAUGAAAAACAUUGAGAGGUGCCACUGGCUGAUUUAUUCAUAGCUGCUAUCUCAUGCCCACUGUGAGAACUGAUUUACAAAUGCCUACAUCGCCAGCAGAAGCGGAUUGGUCAUCGACCACAGCAUUGGCCCAGUGUUGCUACCAAUGCUCACAGAGCAUGAAAAAAUUUAAACGAAGUUCUGUUCCAUUUCGCUUUCUUGUAGUAAUAAUGUCUACAAGCUGAGGAUAUUCUUUCACUGUAAAAUGAGUUGACUUGGAGCUGCAUUUGUCAGACUUAAUUGCACCGCUGUAUUUGCACUGAUUAUGCCUGCAUAUCCCAAGCAGUACUGGAGCAGAUGAGUUGAAAUUUGUUUUGCUGACAGUGUUUGUUGAGGUGAGGCGUGUUUGUUGUAGGGGUGCUGCUUUGAGCUCACAGACUUUUUCUCACUUGCAAUUUGUCUCACUUGUGCCUUGCAUUAUGAAGUGUCUGAAAGCAAGAGGUGACUGAGUACAUAGUCAUGCAAAGCACAGGCACUUGUGAAGCAAAUAGAAACAAAAGCCAGAAUCGACAUAAACCACUUGAUUACUCAAGGCAGGCUCUUGCAAGUUAUUAGAGAUAUCCAGAAUAGUGAGGACACACUAGCACAAAUGCAUACUGCAGUAGCAAAGAACAAUUCCAACAACAGUAGCACUGGUGGCAUCAUCUUGCGACACUGUGAUCAACCAUAACACCCUCGAAACAUUAUUCUGUUGUAUGAAUGAGUCUUCGAAAAAGAAAAUGCACAAAAAUAUCUUUGUGAUAAUUACAUUAUUGGCGAUACAUAUAUGUCCGCAGAUAAGAGGAAUGCAAUCGAUCAUUGCAAAAACUGGCACUUUCACGGAAAUUAAAAAUUAAAUUCUGAGGAUUUGCGUGCCAAAAGCACAAUCUGGUUAUGAGGCACAUUGUAGUGGAUGACUCCGCCUUAAUUUUGACCACCUGGGGAUCUUCAAGGUGCCCCCAGUGCAUGAGACACGGGUGUUCUUGCAUUUUGCCCCCAUCGAAAUGUGGCUGCGGUGGCUGGCAUUUGAUCCCGCGAUCUCGUGCUUAGCAGUGCAAUGCUAUAACCAUUAAGUCACCACAACGGGUGCUUUCACCAAAAGGGCAAAGCAUUUACAGCAACAGCGAAGUUUAGCACUGCGCUUGAGUGCCUCAGACAGUGUUCUAGCAAUAGGCAAAGCGACAUGUUGGUGCGAUGCAGCUUGCGAGGCAACUGCUGCUGCACAGCAGAAACAGUGCCCUGGCAGCUACCGGCCAUUUCAUAAUGUUGGCGUGAUGUGGAGCACUGCCAGUGGCAUCGCAGGCAUGUUGCACCUCAAUGGUGGACGAAAUAAGGCUGAAGGAAAACCAUCGGCAUUCGUAGAUUAAAGUUUACAGUUUGUUCCGCUCAAACCACUGUAUGCACACAGCUGCACAGCAAAAGUGCUAAUGUUUUGGGUGCACAGCCCUCGUGUCAGCAGCAGAAGGCGGAUUGCUACCGUGGCUUUGCUGCAAAGCCAGUUGAGCAGAGCAGUUGUGCAUCCAAUUGGCUUCGUCGUUGUUGCUGCCAAAUGCACUGCGCGUCUGUCGCUUCUCUGGAGACCUUGUAACCAGCCACACGCAUGCUGCACAUGUGCCGUCAAUGCCAUGACAGCAUGACAGUGGUGGUGGUGCAAGCGCACCUGAGGUAUCCGUAGAAUUGCUAUCAUAAUAAUACAAGUUCUCCAUGCCUUGGCGAGAUAAACACAGUGUCGCAAGACAUUGGUGCCAUUGUUGCUCCUUUGUAGUAGUCCAAUAUAUGUUCAUGUAUGCUAGUGUGUGUCUGCUAUGGUAAAGAUGUCUCCUGGAUGACAAACUUAAGCUGAACUGUCAACAUUUGUGAAAUUAGAGUCUUGGCUUCUUGUGCUAGCCUACAAUGUGCUCAAGACGUGUGUGUGUUGCAUAGACAUGUGCAAAGGAAUGCACGUUUGUGCACCACUUAGUUUACAAGCAUCGUCAUCUUGUGCCACAAGAAACAAGUUUUUAACUGUUUAUUUCUCAUCACUCCCAUACCACUCAGAAUCCUCAUUUUGGUGCAGAAGCUGAAACAAAAGCAUGCCAGCUGCCUCUUGGGGCAAAUCAGAACCUAAGGUGAAAUGCAGUGAACUCAAGAGAGUAGGCAGAAGCCGCCCAAGUGUGCCAAUAGCGUCUGGUCAGAGGAACUGCGAAAGCCUUGAACCAAUUUGCUGUCAUGAGGAGCUGGCAAGGCACUGUGAGAUGGCCUGGACAAGGCUUGCACAAGCUGCAACCUCAUAAAAGAUCAGCCAGUGGUGUUUGUACUUGGAAGUGGAAACCACAUGGAGCAAGUUUCAAACAUGUUUUCCACGAGGCAUUGCCAUAUCUAUCUUAUGCCACAUGAUAACUGCACUGUUAUCACUGCCUAAAUGCCUACCAUGGAAUAUCGCCUUUUUUUCGGCAACCAUAUGUAAUGCAUUCCAACUGGAAUUGCAUCGUGGUAAUCACCAGGUGUGAAAUAGCCAUGCUGAAACUAGGCAGCGCCAUGCCCUAAAUGUGUUGUAAACAUUCUCGUGUGGUUGCUGCUUAACACAGGCGCAAAGUGUACGUGUGUGAGAAAGAUGCACUUUGUACACUCAAAGUGUCGAAUUGCAACAUACGUACAAUGAAUGAGGCUUAUCUGUUUGUCUGAGCACUUGUUUUAUUUACAUUGCUUGGUAUCCUUGCUAAGCCCUGUCCAGGUCAUCUUGAGCUGCUUCUGUGUUACCAUGUGCAGUGGAGCUGUAGCAACUUGGCAGGGUCACUGGGACUGAAGUGUGCCUUGCCUGGUAGUCAAACAGCCAACAGCAAUCAUAACCCCAGAACAACAGCUGUGGGUUGACAAAAACACUUGGAAUCUCGGGUGCGUGCCGCUCCACUCAGUAGAGUGUGCAACACCUUGCCUCAUAGUCCACGUGAAUGCCAUCCAGCAUGUCAUUUGAUACGUUUGCCCAAGUGCUACAUUGAAUCAAAAUUUGUCAGUGUUCGUAUGUAGUUGAUUUCGCUUUAAUUUUCCAGAAAAAUGAAAGCUUAUUGUGGAUAAAUGAAUUUUCAAUAUGAGUGCCAUAACACGUCUUUGUACGCAGUGGUAUGAGCAAGACUGCCCUGACACUAAUCAUAGAAGCUGUGGCUCUCGAUGCACUGCAGUCAUCUUGAAACAAUAAUUGAAAACAGCUUGCUUCAUUUUGUUUCAAAUGACUACAUUUCAAGUGACUGAAACGUACAUCACAGUGCUUCUUUAAGGCCUUAAAAUGUUGAGCACUAGUAUAACCAAUUAGUGAGUUGUUCUCUUCUGGCGGCAUGCUGUCAAAAAUAAAAAAAUUUGGAGGGUGCUUAAGUUUCGCCUUUGAGAGUGGAAUGUGAUAGCAUUCAAAAAUCCCUGACUGCUCCUCAUGCUUCUGAGCAACUGCAGCUUAUACGUAACCGUAAUGUUUACCGGGAAAUGUUGGUGCCGAAAUGCAUGAAGGCGAGCUUUCUGGUAGAAAUGUGGCCUCUUGCAUGGGCCAAUCUUCUGUUAUUGUUUCGCACUUUUGAUAUUUCAGUCUGAGAAGAUUUAACAUAAAAGGCAUGCACUGUCGUUGUUUUGUUUCACGGCAUUUGUUUAUGGGCUGCCAUUCUCAAAAUUCUGAGGAAUAACUGUGUAAAGAAUUUAAGACAAGAUAUGAGCAACUUUAGUGAUAGAACAACUUUAGUGCCGUAUAAAAUAUGCGUGGUUCGGGAUGAUUAUCUGGUCUGCUGACGCCGAUGCUUACGUGGACAUUAGAUUUUCUGCGGCACGGAGCCCUUAAUGCUAUCGCAUUAAAACUGAAACAUGGACAUUGGUUGAGAAACAUACAUUGCAGGAAAGUUGUCUGGGGAAGGGAGACUGCUGUAGCCAAUAAAACACACAGCAUCUUGCUUGGGUUAGAAAGACUAGUUUUGCUAUACGGCCAAGAAGAUGGACCUCCUGUCCCUUUUCUGGAAGCAGACUAAAGCACAAUAUGCUUUUUACUAAAUCACUGUCAAUGUUCAAAUGUCAUUGUAUGUAUCCGUUUCCAUCUUGCCAUCACCUUACAGUCACCGUGUUGGCAUUACGUAGUUGGUGGCUUUGCGACACUAAUGCAAAAACGAUUGCUUGGAUCCACGACGAGAAUGUGUAUCUAAGCAACUGCUGCUGCUUUUGUGUGACAAAGCUGUCAACGAUACAUUUUUGAAGAUUGUAUAGCCCAACUUGUUACCCAUUGUGCCAGUGUCCUUACACAGCUUACACUACAGAACAUGUAAAAUUCAGCAGUGAAGUAUGUCAUAUUGUCAUGCUUUAAAAGACUUUCAUGUUGAAAUAGCUGACUUGGUGCACAUAAAAAUCUGUGGCAGGAUUGUCAUUCUGACGUGACUGGUGGCAUUCCAGUGUACUGUGAUCGCAUACUGAAUGGUCUCACAGAAGGAUGUCAUAGUGUGUUGUCUGUACUGUCCUGUGCCUCGGUGUGUACAUGUAGAAGAGAACCGCUAUUGAAAUGGAUGAAGAUAACCGGUGCCAGAUUUGUAGGGUUAGUCCGCCAGUAAGCUGGACAGUCGUGUGGAGCUGAUUAAUCAAUUGCUGUCUUGACACAAUCAUGCAGCAAUGUCUGAUGCAUGCAGAAGGUAUGAAAAUAGCAUUGACUUUUGCUCAUGGGGGUACCCUGUCACUUGGACAGGAGGAAAAAUAGCUGUUGACUGGCACAAACUGCACAGUUUUUUACCCUGCCAAAAACAGUCAGAUGCAAGCAAAUGUUACUUUACAAUGAGGAAUUGGUGCACUCAUGUAUCAUAUUGUGGAGCGAUUGCUUUUAGCAGUAUUUUCACUUCACUUAAUCCUUUAGCUCCCAGGCCCGAGCUGCACUCAACCUAGCAGAUUGUACCGACAUUGCCAAAGACGAAUACUGCUCGUCCGGGCUGCACUUCAAAUAUCUUACUCUUUUGAGCACAGUGAUUUAUGAAGGAUAAGGUAUACCAAAAUUUACUUCACAAACCAGGCAUCAGCAAUACGAUAACACCUGUUUUUAGUCUUUUGUAGCAUACAUAAAUGCACUGUAAAUCUUUAAUAGGCACAUUGUUUUCGCAACAGCUUGCAGCUUUGUGCAGUCAGCAGCUGCCACAGUUCAUUGAGACCCACUCUGAAAUGCUGUGCAAGACUUAUAAGCAUGCAAUACGUCUUUGCAAUAUCUCCAUGGCUUUUGUCAUGUAAACUGUUUGUUGAUUGCAGGCUUGCGAGAUAGUUUUUUCUUCUGUGCUGAAAAUCGGAGUGGUAGCGUGUAAUCCAGCAUGCUUGGUUCUCAGUUCUCGAUGAUCUGUGUGCAGGUUUGUUCUUGUUGGCUUUGACAGGAUAGCUGUUUUAGAGUGGAACUGUUGUGGUGGUCUGUUCAGACAACCAGCCGUGGUGCAUCAGACAGAUGUUGCAUGAGAACAUAGGAGAAUUGUGUUGGUUGCCAUGCUAGGAGCACAAAACAGGUCAGGAGUAGCUUCGACACUCAGUGGAGCAAAAGACAUGGUGCCUUGAAAAGGUUACAGAAAAAAAAAAAGACUUGUUAAGGAAAUGGCACUGUGCUAUACUUCUGUAUAUAACUGCAAUAUUGAUGUUGUUGAAGUGCAUAUUUUAUGACAAAGUGUACACAUGAAUGUUCUGUCAUAACAGCAGGGCAGUCACAGAUGUUUCUUUUUUUAUAUAUGCAUAUAAAUAUUUGCUGUAUGUCGGAAGAGCAAAAAGAAAAAAAAAACAUCUUUUUGUAUCUUGAAUAAGAUAUAUAUAUAUCUGUAUACAAACUAAUGUUCAUAAUGUACAUAGUACCGUUUGUGUAGUGUUUCACAAGACUGCGAAGAGUAAAAAAAAGUAAGAAAAAAUAAAGGUUGCUUGUAAAUUAUGUAAAAAGGAUAAAACAUAAAUUAUUCAUGGAUAACAUGGAACCCAACCAAACAUACAGGAAAGCCCAGUGGUACUUUGAGUAAAAUCCAGUCAGAGAACUGUGUACUUAUAAGCUGUACAUAACCAAGUUUACUCAAGCCAACGUCCUGCCUUGUACAUAUACUUUCAGAGAAUAUAUAUGCAGCUGCGUAGAGGAAUAUGGUUGGCACAGCAAUUCCGAUCUCCAGGAGUUAGGCCUGCUAAUAGAGUUGGCUAUGAUACCGAUGCAUGUCAAAUAUGCAAUUUUUCAGAGUUUUCAGUGCUCAAGAAAUUAAUAAGCUUUCCGAGUAGUAGUCCCAGUUUUCUUGGACUCCUAAUGAUUUAAAUUUUUGUCCUGUGCCUGUGUUCCUUCUCGAGAUGACAUUGUAACGAUAUAAAGGCCAUGGAACCAUUAGCACAGGGAGUGACAUGGCAACAAGGAUUGUAGUACCAUUUAAAUUAAUAUAUUUGCAACUUCAGCAGUCCACUCUUUAGAGCUUAGUGUUCUUUCUCCUUUAUUUUCACAAUGAAAAAUAAUAACGUGAUAAUUUGUGUCAGAAUUGCAACUACUGUACAUGGCUAUGCACCCGCCCUGGGAAUAAAUCAGCUCACUCCUCAGUUCAACUGGCAGAGUAUUUGAUGGCACAUACUAGAGUGUUUUAGUUCAGUGUUUUUUGGCUCAGUGUUAGCUCUGCUUGGCCUAUGCGUGUCAGCUGUGAAUAGUGGAUCACUCUGCCUGCAACUGAUACAGCUAGCCUGCAGAUUUUGUUUUGAUUGAGUAUUUAUCCAAAGUUUAUUGGCAAGCACGAUUAGCCCAACUGAAAUGACAAGAGGGCGAAGGUUGUCAUCAGUUUUACUAGAUCAUACGGUCAGACUACAGAUUCCACCUUUCACGAUUCCUUUCAGUUGCGUGCUGCAUCCGUUGAGCUAAUUCUGCUGCACAUACCGUCACGUAGCAGACAAUUUAAAGUGGCCAUUUGCAGCUUGGCUGCCAGGAUUGGUGGAGCGUACGACCAAUCACCAUUGCUUUCUGCAUGGCAUUGUGGACUAUUAAGUUUGCCUGGCUGGCACAGAAGGCAACGAAAGGAGUCACAUGCAAUGCAGCGAUUAAGUGACUGAUACAGUAAUCAAGAACUUUUUUUCUUUUCAUUUCACUGGCCUUCUGCUUUGCCAGCAUCCUCCCCUCUCUGAAACACUGGGAUUUAGCAGCCAGAAAAUGUACAUGGCUGAACACGUGGCAAAAAACGCAGCCAAAACACUCUAGUCAUGAUUCCUGUUGGGAACCGAUAGCUUCUGUGAAUUAGCAUCAAUAGCUAUGUGCCUGUUGCGCAAUUCUGGGUCGUAGACCUAGAGUUGGCAGGGGAUGUGAUGAUAUGAAGAACGAAAUCUUAAACAAAAAAUUACCAGAUUAACACUCCAUGCACAAUGAAACGCUCCCACUAUGUCGACAGGGGUGUUUUUUGAUCAGCAAGAUUCUCUUGCAGUGCUUGUAAAUUCUUUCUUAAGCAAUUUACCUAUUAGCAUUAUUAGAAAAGUGGCAAGCAGCAGCAAACUGUUGCAAGUAACCGUUGUAGAAUUUUUCCAUAUUAAACUAUGCGAAGAGAAUAAAAGAGAGAAAAAAGACAGAAGGCAAAAAAUGUGCACCCAUGAUCGUACCAUUGCAAUGUUAGCUCAAGGAAUGUUGGUGUAGGCAGCAAGCAUACUAUAACAGUUAAGGCUGUCAUCAGCAAUUUGGCAGUGAGCAAAGGAGAAAGCCUCGAAAGGUUUUGACUGGCACUUGGGUACAACACAAGACAUGUGCGACUGUAUUAGAUACAAACCCGAGCUCAAAGGAACAGAUAUGAAAGUCUCGAUGCAACGCCCAGGUUUGUAUUCUUUCAACGAGCCACAUUAUGUGGCCCUCUACCUACACGUUUUGGUUCAUAAAUUAAUGCUGGUGUUGUUUUGUUGCUAUUACCUACAAGUCUGUGUUGCGUGUGCUAAACUUGCCCACUUGCUUCAUCUUGCACUAUACUAAGAAACGGUGAGCGUGUAGUUGCAAUACCUUGUGUAGUACCGAGAUGUGUCCAAGUUACUGUGUGCACAACGUGUCAUUACAUACUCCUUGCAUGUCAUUGACCCCAUGCUAUGUGCAAGAAAAAAAAAAAAAAACUGUACAUACGACAAACAUUAUCACCUGUUUCUUCCAGUCUACUUGUUUUGACUGUAUUGUGAAAUGGAAACGUAUCUAUUUCAACCUAAAUUUUUUUUUCUCUCAAAGUUUAAAUAAAUGUCUUCUUAAGUAUACUGACAA